ACCAGGGUACCAUGCCCACCUUUCCAUCUUUUGUUCUUGCCCAUCUCCAAUGCUCCAGCUCUACAAGUCGGUUUUAAUAUUUGUUACAGUAAUGGCAGCCCUUAGUCACUCUUUCAAGUCUCUCACAGAGCUGUAGAAGCAAAAAUCAGCAUCCUUACGUCUGUUUUACAAGUGAGCAAAAUGAGCAAAAAAAAAAAUCAGCCAGAGGCAAGAGAAGCCUCUUGGCAUGCACCUCCCUCCAAAAUUGGCCAAAGUUCUCAGGUACCUAGCCUGAAGGGUUGUGCGAACCGAAUCCACAAGUCCCUGUGUCUCUGGAAGAGGCCAAAACAUUUUAGCAAGUAUGCCUGGGAGGAGGAAUGGGUAGCUACUGGGCAUGCACGUAGUUCUGAAUUUGGCCAAACUUCAGGUAGAUACCCCAUACGGGUAUGCUGCUUUUCCAGAACUUGCGCAGGUAACGCAGAAUUUUUCCUAAGUACAAUGUGGUGGAGGCCAAGGUAGCUAGCGGGCAUGUGCCCACGUCCAAAUUAGGCAAAAUUCUCUGUUACCUAGCCUAGAGGGAUCCGAGUUUAGGAUCCACAAAGAACAGAUCCCUCUUGGCGGAAGCCAAAUCUUUUUUUAUGGAAGCAUGCCGAGGUGAGAAGGCAAGGGUAGCUACCAGGCAUACACUUCCCUGAGAACUUGUCCAAAGUUGUGGUGUCCCUGCCCUGAAGGGCUUUUCAGCUGGUCCCCAGAGCUAAAUGUGUCGCAAGAAGAAUCCCAAACAUUUUCCGAAGCUUCCCUGGAGGAGGCAAUGGUAGGUAGCCGGCAUGCAGCUGCCUCCAAAGUAGAGGCCAAAUUGUGAGGGACUUAACACAGAGGGCUCUUCUGCUGGUAUUGACAAACAAUCCUGUAUUUGGAGCUAGCCCAAAAGUUUUGAAAAACAUGAUCAGUGAAGGGAAGUGAAUGUACCCAGGCAGGUACCUCCCUCCAAAAUUGGCCAGAGUUCUCAGGUACCUACCCUGAAGUGAUCUGAGGACAGGAUCCCAAACUAAAUCUGUCUGUGGAGGUAGCCACAAAGUUUUGGCAAACAAGAUCAGCUAGAGGCAAGAGAAGCCUCUUGGCAUGCACCUCCCUCCAAAAUUGGCCCAAGUUCUUGGGUACCUAGCCUGAAGGGUUCUGCGGACUGAAUCCACAAGUCCCUGUGUCUCUGGAAGAGGCCAAAACAUUUUACCAAGUAUGCCUGGGAGGAGGAACGGGUAGCUACUGG
Cygnus olor (mute swan) is the source of this 1246-nucleotide long non-coding RNA. RefSeq lists it as uncharacterized. Lineage: Eukaryota; Metazoa; Chordata; Aves; Anseriformes; Anatidae. The transcript has 2 exons. The record is from RefSeq and is a predicted model, not a curated record.